RNAcentral lists this long non-coding RNA (1314 nucleotides) under Brassica napus (rape). Its description in RNAcentral is "long non-coding RNA (BNAP_LNC017000)". Lineage: Eukaryota; Viridiplantae; Streptophyta; Magnoliopsida; Brassicales; Brassicaceae. The record is from RNAcentral.
GAGACACAAUUAUUAUAAUUCCAUCGCGUAGUGGAAACCACACCAAUCAUUUAUUUACCACAUACUUAUUUAUUAUAGUAUGCAAUUUAUGAUAGUGCAACUAAACUUUACUAUAAACCUAGACUCAUAAAGCGUGCAAUUUAUGAUUGUGCAAUUUAUGAUAGUGCAAUUAACCAUGCACAGUAAAGCGUGAAUAAAAUUAGAACACCUUUGAAAUAAAUUGUAUAUUUCAUUACUUACUAAACAGAAGUGUUCUAUUUAGUAUAACAAAAUAGUAUAAGAGAUCAACUCUAUCUCAACCCCUAAAUAAUAAAUUUUAUCCCAACCCGACCUAUUCCAAGCCUCUAAAUACUAAACCCUAAACACUAAAUCUGAAAUCUAAAUACAAACCCUAAACCCAAAUACAGAAUGUGUUUCAUAUCACCGAAAUAGUAUAGAACUCUAAGUCUCUAACUCAGCACACAACUCCUAAAUGCUAAACCCAAACCCAACUUUUGAAUACUAAACCCUAAACUGCUAUCAAUAAACUCAAACCUCAACCUACACUUUCCAAAUAUUAAACCUUAAAUCCUAAUCACUAAACCCUAAACCUAAGUAUAAAACCUAAACCCAAAUAGAAUAAAACAAAAUACAUAGUAUAGUACAUAUUGGUGAACAAAAUAAAACAUUUUUUUAUUAAUCAUCAAAUGGAACAAUACAUGAUAGGGUCACUAAACUCAAACUUCAACCCCACUUUCUACAUACUAAACCCUAAAUCCUAAUCACUAAACCCUAAAUCCAAGUAUAAACCCUAAACCCAAAUAAAAUGGAACAAAAUAUAUAGUAUAGUACAUACUGCUGAAUAAAAUAAUACAUUCUUUAUUAAUCGUCAAACGGAACGAUACAUGAUAAAAAGGUAUAGUAACAUACUAUUUUGCAUUACAUAACAUGAAUAGCACAUUCAUAAUACAUAUUACAACUCUUAAUUACUAAACGCAAAACAAACUUUAAAAUACUAAACUCAAAUAUAAACCAUAAUUAUCAUCCCUAAAUCCAAUUAUUAAAAUCUGAAAAUAGUAUAUAAUAUUGUGUAAUGUUAAACUAAAUCCAAACCUAAUUUUUGAAUAGUAUUGGCUCUAACCCAACACACAACUCAUAAAUGCUAAUUCCAUAUCUAACUUUUGAAUACUAAACCCUAAACUGCUAUCACUAAACCCAAACCGCAAUCCCUAACUUCCAAAUACUAAACCUUAAAUCUUAAUCACUAAGCCCUAAACCCAAGUAUAAACCCUAAACUCAAAUAGAAUGGAACAAAAUACAUAGUAUAAUACAUAU